AUGUUGCUGCGGCUGAGGUCGAAGAGGUUUCCGCCUGUGUUCUCCUCAAGGAUUUUGAUGGAUUCCUUUCGCACAUUGAGGUCCUUCAUCCAUUUUGAGUCUAUUUUCGUGUGUGGUGUAAGGAAAUGGUCCAAUUUCAUUUUUCUGCAUGUGGUACGAGAAGAAUAAAUGAAACAAGAUGGGAUUGGGAGGGAGACAAACCAUAAGUGACUCUUAAUCUCACAAAACAAACUGAGGGUUGCUGGGGGGAGGGGGUUUGGGAGAAGGGGGUGGGAUUAUGGACAUUGGGGAGGGUAUGUGCUUUGGUGAGUGCUGUGAAGUGUGUAAACCUGGU
Molecule: long non-coding RNA, 334 nt
Filed under: Mustela putorius furo (domestic ferret)
Lineage: Eukaryota; Metazoa; Chordata; Mammalia; Carnivora; Mustelidae
Description: lncRNA (ENSMPUG00000028777.1)
Source: RNAcentral